AUUGAACGCUGGCGGCAGGCCUAACACAUGCAAGUCGAGCGGAAACGAAGGGAGCUUGCUUCCAGGCGUCGAGCGGCGGACGGGUGAGUAACACGUGAGAAUCUGCCCAUUAGUGGGGGACAACUCGGGGAAACUCGAGCUAAUACCGCAUAAUCCCUAAGGGGGAAAGCAGGGGACCUGUUGGCAUUGCGCUGAUGGAUCAGCCCACGUCGGAUUAGCUAGUUGGUAGGGUAAAGGCCUACCACGGCGACGAUCUGUAGCGGGUCUGAGAGGAUGAUCCGCCACACUGGAACUGAGACACGGUCCAGACUCCUACGGGAGGCAGCAGUGGGGAAUUUUGGACAAUGGACGCAAGUCUGAUCCAGCCAUUCCGCGUGCAGGAUGAAGGCCCUCGGGUUGUAAACUGCUUUUGUACGGAACGAAAAGGUCUCUCUUAAUACGGGGGGCUCAUGACGGUACCGUAAGAAUAAGCACCGGCUAACUACGUGCCAGCCGCCGCAGUAA
RNAcentral lists this ribosomal RNA (504 nucleotides) under uncultured bacterium. Its description in RNAcentral is "partial 16S ribosomal RNA". It matches the Rfam family "Bacterial small subunit ribosomal RNA", at positions 30 to 523 of the family's 1533-position model. The record is from RNAcentral.